UGGCCAUUUCCUCGGUUCCUGAAUGUUUCAGAGACCAUCUUUUAACUGUAUAAUCCACCUCAAGGAAAAAUGUAAGAGACCGACCAUGAUGUAG
This 94-nucleotide long non-coding RNA is filed under the name Coturnix japonica (Japanese quail). RNAcentral's name for it is "lncRNA (ENSCJPG00005016461.1)". The record is from RNAcentral. Lineage: Eukaryota; Metazoa; Chordata; Aves; Galliformes; Phasianidae.